CGGCGUGCUUAACACAUGCAAGUCACGGGGGUUGGGGCAACCCAGCAACCGGCGAACGGGUGCGUAACACGUAAGCGACCUGCCCUGGAGCGGGGGAUAGCCGGCCCAACGGCCGGGUAAUACCGCAUACGACGGUUUGGGGGCAUCCCUGGACCGUGAAACCUGCGGGGCUCUGGGAGGGGCUUGCGGCCUAUCAGCUAGUUGGCGGGGUAACGGCCCACCAAGGCGGUGACGGGUAGCUGGUCUGAGAGGAUGGCCAGCCACAUUGGGACUGAG
Molecule: ribosomal RNA, 276 nt
Filed under: Prymnesium polylepis
Lineage: Eukaryota; Haptophyta; Prymnesiales; Prymnesiaceae
Description: partial Bacterial small subunit ribosomal RNA
Rfam family: Bacterial small subunit ribosomal RNA
Source: RNAcentral